UAUAUAAAAUAAAGGCACUGUAUGAUCUUUUUUAUGCUUUAACAGGAUAAUAUCUCAUUUUUGAUGAUUCAGAAGUCUUGGCAUGAUGCUCACUUCAAGAGUAUCGCUCUCUCUCCAGUGUGUCUUCAAACUUCGCUAAAGUACAAUGACUGGGAGUUCAUACGGAUUCACACAGUGAUUGGGAAAACGCAUUAAAGAAAAAAUUACUGAGUGCUAUUAAAUACGAAGAAAAUGUCUUCCAUUUCAGAAGCCUUUGGACCGUGAGUUUUUUGGAGACAAACAGAUACCCCUGGGGACAUACCAUUCCAGCCGUAACACCUGCUCUCCCUCGCUGGUUAUGGGGCUAAAUGGGUCUUUGGUGGAAUUUUUCUUUUGAAUGGAGAUCAGGACAAACAGAUCUAAAGAUUACAGGUUUAAUAAUAAUUUUGUGCUUAAUAAUAAUUAGUGAUCAGAAUUAAUUAGAAAAAAUUAAUGAUAAUGACAUUGGUACAAAACUUUACUUCUUCUGGCACUGCUGAAGACUUUCUGUUUCCUCACUGCGUGAUUAAAAGGAACAGAAAGAAGUUGCAGCUUUGGCACUUUUGAUCUCUGGAUUAGCACUUUUGGAUCUAUGGAACAGUUACAGCUGUUCAGUCUAAAGGAUCAAAAAUGUUAAGAAAAUUAAUUGGUACCCUGAAUAAACAUUCAUUGCAUGAUUUUCGUAAUUUAAGGGUCCCAUUUACUUAAAGGAGAAAUGACCAGCCCUGCAGCGUGGACUGUGCUUUAGGGACUUGGGGAAGGCACCUCAGAUCGUUUUCCUUAGUGUCAGGGUGGUUGCAAUGAACUUCUGAGGCUCUUUUGUGGUGGCUUAUUGGUUUGGACCGUGAGGAGCUGUGGGUUCAUCACUAGGUUCGACUAAGGCUCAGGUAAUUUCUUGAUCUAGCGAAAGGCAUCUGAACUGGGCUAUAGUUGACUCCCCUGAAGCUGACUGAGGACUGACGGCUUUUCUUUGCAGGUUACUUGUCUGCAUGCCUCAGAUCCAGAAGCCAGAAAUGUGGCUAAAAUACUUACGUUGCCACUCUAGCUGUAGAUCCUGCUAUGGCCACUUCAAGCAGAUGCAGCUGUUGCAUGGUUUAUGCUCCAAUUGUCCUAAAAUCUGUGGUUGGGCUUUUGAGACUUGUGAUCACAGAAGACCUGUCAAGCCCAGCACUGGCUAUGACACUACUCAGAAUCUGGAUAAUUAAAAAAUAACACACAAAUCCUACUAAUUAACCCACUUUAACACCAUGAAGCUUAUUAAAAGUUGAAUUGUGUUGUUUAAAAAUUUUCUAAACCUGCACUAUUGUUAGUCCAUGUGCCUCUCUUUCUGCACAGCUGAACAUCUCCUGUAAUCUGUGUAGAGUCUACACAGCGCUGGUGGCAUCAGUGAGGCUGUGACAGGCAAAAGCAAGGGAAACUCAGGCUCUUCAGUACCUGGAACAGAAAAAAAGUGCAGGAUUUGUGCCAUGACUUGUUUUUUACAAGUCACUAUUUUAAAAAGAAACCAAGAGGUUUAAAGGGAGAAGAAAUAAAAACCUAGGUUUCUUUUGAUUAACUUAGCAAACAAGAAUGGCCUGUCCCUUCCAGCUUUUCUACAUAAAUUCACCAAUUUCAUCUCUUUUUUCUGAGUUAGUUACCACAACUAUCAUGUGGUUGCUUUCUCAAAGAAUGAAUGAAGUUUUCUUACUGUAUCCCAGACUCCCACCGUGUCCGUGGAAGCUGCCAAACAUGUUUAGAGAGGCAGCAAGGGGUUUUCAACAGCCAGGUCACUACAGGUGCUGGCAAGAAAAAGAGUCUCUUCUGAAUUAUCCCAAAAGGACAAAUGUGUGAUCCCUAUGAACAGUUUUUCAUUUAUAAUCCUCAUGUGCUCUGAUAAAGGUUACUUCAAGCUGUCUUCCUCUCUGCAGUCUGCAGUAAGUGCAUCUUAAAAUAAUUGAGCUAAUGUAAAAGUCUUUAGCUUCUUCAUCCUAAUAAGCUGAAAUCUGUAUUCUAAAGGAAGUUAUUUUAGUGCUAAGUAAUGUUACAAAUUGAUUAGGAAUGUUUUCAUUCCGUAAGUCUCACAUUUCAAGCAGGGUACCUCCUGACACGCUCUUGCUUUUUCUAAGCACUAAAAAUGUUUUAGGAGAACCAAACCUGGAGAUUAUAGCCUUGGCUUCUCUCCUUUUUGCAUAGUAGCAGGACAAGACCUUCCCUCAUCAAAACACUGUUCUCUUUAAAUAUGCCAAAUUGUUUCAGAGGUUUCUCUGCCCUGAUGCUCUCAGGGGUGGGAUGAUGAUCAACUGAUGUCCUUCACCAAGAAUGUUUUCUAGAUGUAAGCUGCAGUCUGAAUUUUGGAGAAGUGCUUGAUGUGGUUGAGAAGGAGGGGCUGGAUGGUGCUGCUGUGAAUCUUACAGCAGUUGCAGAAAAAGCUGAUCAAUAGCAGUCCAAAAUGUAAGUGCAUUUGCUGAAACCCGCAGAAGCUUGUUGAGAAUAAUGAAGAAGCACUUGACCAGCACCUCAAGGUGGGACUAAUUCGCUCCCAGAAGAUCCUCAGUACCUUGUCAAGAGGACUACAGCCUGCAGAAAUCAAAACUCUGUGUAACAGGUGACAAACCAGUGUCAUUUACCUGUCAGGCGCUUUGCGUGGAGCCCCCGUGGCACGGCAGGAGGCAAGCCUGGUCUGUGUAGAAGCCUAAUCUCUGCUCGUGAAACCUGCCUGCACACGUAUACCAACACCGUGUGGCAGGGAGGAGCAUCUGUUUACUGCAGCAGGAGACGUUGGAGAAGCUGCUGAGAGACACACUAAUUGCAAACAAGAUUUGACCGCUUGUUAAGUAAGAUGAAGAAACCACACCUGGAGAAACAAGGACUGUUGCAGAGUAUGCUCAGGUCCCCAGGAUGGGCUACUGCUCUGAUAGCUGUUCUUGAUGGCGCUACCGCUGCAUGUUCACCUUCCCUUUCUUCGGCCGAGGAGGGACCUGAAGAAUCCAUGGCCCCUCUGAACCGCUGCCCUCUGCAACCCUUUAUGCAGAGAGCAAGCAGAGAAGCAGAAGGGUGCGCUCAAAAAAUGUCAUCUUCCAACGGUAAGGCGCGCUAUUCAUAUUGGCGUGAGCAUGCGGAGCCGAUGCUGUGAAGUAACAAGCAACUAGUAAAUCCCCUGCUCCACCAGGCGUGCGUAACCUGAUCUGCAGCACGGUGGAAGACUUAAAAAGGUUUUGCUGUCGUCCGCCUGCCUGUGACUGCAAAUGCGUUGCGGCAUUUCCUGUCCCUGCUCAGAUGGCAGAACUAAUUAGCUCAAGGUACAAAAGGAAAAUCCCUUGAAACGUUUGGCUGCAGCGGCCCUGGCCAGUCCUAUGAGGAGGAAGACUGAUAGUACGUUGACAUGAUACGACAACUGUGCACACACGGUGCCAACUGGGCACCUUCAGUCUUCUCUUCAAAAGCUUUCCCCACUCCUGUGGAUGGGGCAUGAAAUACGUUUCUCAUGGUACUCCGUAACUGGUAUUGCUUACAUUUUUACAUACAAAAAAGGUAGGACUAAUGUUUUAAAAUGUAUCUUGCCCUCCCCCCUCCCCCCCAAGAAAACCCACCCCACUGCUUAGCUUUUCUAAAAUACUAAAAACCUAACAGCACUCUCACAGUAUUGCCUGCUAAUUGCAGGGAACUUCCCCACCAGACGUGAGUGUUGGAGUUUUUGGUUAUAGAGACGGUACAAGACAUUCUCCAUCCGCACGCUGCAGAGGUUUUACACCCACUCCCCGAGCAGCUUUCACUGCAAGAACCGUGCUGCUGGUAAGGCUGUAAUGAGCUAUUGUAAAUAGAAUUUAAGCAAUCACUGUUAUUACCAGUGGUAACUUCCAGCAGGCAAAACUGUCCUUGCUGUUGCUUCAGCCGUCUACCCUAUUCCCACUAGAGUCUUCAUCACAUUAGGUCAAACGAGCACAAAAUGUAUUUCCUGAGCAGCACCCCUUAGGCUGUACCCCACCGUUACGUGGCGGCGUUGCUUGGUUUUGACGUCUCAUAGAAGCUGCGGGCAGAAAUACACCCUAGUACAGGCAAACCAAGCGUUAGCUCUGUCUUUUUACAGUUAAAUUUACUUUUUGAUUAAUGGAACGAAGAGCAAAAAAAGAGGUAAUGCACUCACCUUGCCUGCUUCCCCAGACUCCCUGAAGACCCAGGGUACCGUCACCUCCAGGCGCAGUGGUCCCCCCCGUGACAGCGGCCAGUCUGCCAGGGGAGCAGGGGCCCUGCUGUGCCAGCUCCGUGCCCGACAGCUCUCAGACACAUGUAACGAUGGGUAUUCUGCUCCUCCGCAGCUCCGGAGCCUGCUUUCCUUCCCCUGCCAUGCCAGCUGCUGCUUCUUAGCACUUUUUCUUCAGUCCAGGCAGACAAACAAAGUAGCUGCCACGGACAGCGCUGAUUCAAAGAACAAACCUGCUCUCCGGCUGCCAGUGGAGCCGUGAACUUUUGCAUAAACAGAAGCAGAAGGCAGAGACAGACAUCUUGUACACGGUGAGACCUCCUUUCCUUAAAAUUCCCAGGCAGGCUAAGAGAAGGACCACACAUGAGCCUGUAACACUCAACCCCCAAC
This is a long non-coding RNA of Falco peregrinus (peregrine falcon), 4588 nucleotides long. RefSeq lists it as uncharacterized. The record is from RefSeq and is a predicted model, not a curated record. The transcript is spliced from 4 exons. Lineage: Eukaryota; Metazoa; Chordata; Aves; Falconiformes; Falconidae.